AUUGAACGCUGGCGGCAGGCCUAACACAUGCAAGUCGAGCGGAGCGGCGGACGGGUGAGUAAUGCCUAGGAAUCUGCCUGGUCGUGGGGGAUAACGUCCGGAAACGGGCGCUAAUACCGCAUACGAUUGACUGAGCCGAUGUGGGAUUAGCUAGUUGGCGGGGUAAAGGCCCACAAAGGCGACGAUCCGUAGCUGGUCUGCGAGGAUGAGCAGUCACACUGGAACUGAGACACGGUCCAGACUCCUACGGGAGGCAGCAGUGGGGAAUAUUGGACAAUGGGCGAAAGCCUGAUCCAGCCAUGCCGCGUGUGUGAAGAAGGUCUUCGGAUUGUAAAGCACUUUAAGUUGGGAGGCGUUACCAACAGAAUAAGCACCGGCUAACUUCGUGCCAGCCGCCGCGGUAAUUC
Molecule: ribosomal RNA, 407 nt
Filed under: uncultured bacterium
Lineage: Bacteria
Description: partial 16S ribosomal RNA
Rfam family: Bacterial small subunit ribosomal RNA
Source: RNAcentral